UGACAUCUUCAAAACCCACUA
RNAcentral lists this microRNA (21 nucleotides) under Nicotiana tabacum (common tobacco). RNAcentral describes it as "nta-miR6147". The record is from miRBase by way of RNAcentral. Lineage: Eukaryota; Viridiplantae; Streptophyta; Magnoliopsida; Solanales; Solanaceae.